RNAcentral lists this transfer RNA (69 nucleotides) under Dissostichus mawsoni (Antarctic toothfish). Its description in RNAcentral is "tRNA-Arg". It matches the Rfam family "tRNA". From Rfam's summary of the family: Transfer RNA (tRNA) molecules are approximately 80 nucleotides in length. Their secondary structure includes four short double-helical elements and three loops (D, anti-codon, and T loops). Further hydrogen bonds mediate the characteristic L-shaped molecular structure. tRNAs have two regions of fundamental functional importance: the anti-codon, which is responsible for specific mRNA codon recognition, and the 3' end, to which the tRNAs corresponding amino acid is attached (by aminoacyl-tRNA synthetases). tRNAs cope with the degeneracy of the genetic code in two manners: having more than one tRNA (with a specific anti-codon) for a particular amino acid; and 'wobble' base-pairing, i.e. permitting non-standard base-pairing at the 3rd anti-codon position. The record is from RNAcentral. Lineage: Eukaryota; Metazoa; Chordata; Actinopteri; Perciformes; Nototheniidae.
AGGCAAUUAGUUUAAUAAAAACACUUGGUUUCGGCCCAAAAGCUUGUGGUUUAAGUCCAUAAUUACCUA